CUUGAUGGCAGCCGUGCGCAGGGCGUCUUCGGGCGCGCCGGGGUACAUCGGCCGGUCUACUAACCUGCGUACAGCUGCCACCCUU
RNAcentral lists this non-coding RNA (85 nucleotides) under Pseudomonas mohnii. The record is from RNAcentral. Lineage: Bacteria; Pseudomonadati; Pseudomonadota; Gammaproteobacteria; Pseudomonadales; Pseudomonadaceae.